GCCAGGUGUGGUGGUGCAUGCUUGUAAUCCCAGCAAUUUGGGAGGCUGAGGCAGGAGGAUCACAAGUUUGAGACCAGCCUCAU
RNAcentral lists this small RNA (83 nucleotides) under Marmota monax (woodchuck). The record is from RNAcentral. Lineage: Eukaryota; Metazoa; Chordata; Mammalia; Rodentia; Sciuridae.